AUAUAUUUUAUUUUGGUAUUUAGAAUUUCUUGUUUAUUUUAUUUAGAUGUAAAUCUUUGUCAAUUAUUUUAAAAUGAGAAAACAGUAAAUAUUAUUAUAAAUGAAAGAAAUUUAGAUUUAGGAAUAUAAUUUAAAAUUAACUAAUCUUGUGCCAGCAGUUGCGGUUAUACAAUAAAUUUAAAGAUAUUUAUUAAGUAAGAUUAAUUACUAUUUAAUUGAAGUUAAAAUUUUAAUUAUAAGGUAAAAUUUUAAUUAUAAUUAAUGUUUCUAUGAUAAAUAAUUAAGAAAUUAAUUUAAAAACUAGGAUUAGAUACCCUAUUAUUUGAAUGUAAAAUUCUUCUGGAGUAGUAAAAGUUAGGUUCUUAAAACUCAAAAGAUUUGGCGGUAUUUUAUCUUAUUAGAGGAACCUGUUUAUUAAUUGAUAUUCCACAACUAUAAUUUACUUUUACUAUUAUAUUUGUAUACCGCCGUCAUGAAUAUAUUUAAAAAUUUAUUUUCAAUUUCUUAUAUGAAGUUUAUGUUAGGUCAAGGUGUAAUUUGUAAAAGAGUAAAAUGGGUUACAUUAAAAAAUAUGAAUGAAUUUUUUACUUAUAAUUAAAAAUGAAAGAGGAUUUAAAAGUAAAUUGAUUUAUAGUAAUUACAUGAAUUAAGAUUCUAGAAUAUGUACAUAUUGCCCGUCACUCUUAUACAAAGUAAGAUAAGUCGUAACAUAGUAGAUGUACCGGAAGGUGUAUCUGGAAAUAAA
This 745-nucleotide non-coding RNA is filed under the name Trioza anthrisci. Lineage: Eukaryota; Metazoa; Arthropoda; Insecta; Hemiptera; Triozidae. The record is from RNAcentral.